Molecule: ribosomal RNA, 468 nt
Filed under: uncultured bacterium
Lineage: Bacteria
Description: partial 16S ribosomal RNA
Rfam family: Bacterial small subunit ribosomal RNA
Source: RNAcentral
GAUGAACGCUGGCGGCGUGCUUAACACAUGCAAGUCGAACGGAAAGGCCCUUCCUUUGUCUGGUGCUCGAGUGGCGAACGGGUGAGUAACACGUGAGUAACCUGCCCUUCACUUUGGGAUAACCUUAGGAAACUGGGGCUAAUACCGGAUAGGAGCUUCUGCUGCAUGGUGGGGUGUGGAGAGUUUUCGCGGUGGGGGAUGGUCGCGCGCUAUAUGCGUUUGUGUGUGGUGUAGUGCUUUACCGAGGCCUUGAGGGGUAGGCGGUCUGAGAGGGUGACGGGCCACUUUGGGAGUGAGACACGGCCGACACUCCUACGGGAGGGAGGAGUGGGGGAUAGUGCAAAAUGGGCGAGCGUCUGGUGCAGCAACGGCGCGUGCGGGAUGGCGGCCCUCGUGGUGUACCCCGCUUGCGCCUGUGGAGGAGUGUGAGUGACGGUAAUGGGUAAAGAAGCACCGGCUAACUACGUG